GCUCGGCUGACAGCACUUGGGAGAUGUAUAGUCCUCUUAUGAGGCUAGUUAUUUUAUGAGUAGUAAUGCAUCCUGGUGAGGUUACUAGGCAUAUUAUAAUACCAACUACGUUGGCUAAAAUUCUAGAUAGAAUACUGAUUAUGACAAUUUUCUAUCUACUUGUCUUGACCAAAUUACGUGCCAGCAGUCGCGGUAAUACGUAGAAGACUAGUGUUAUUCAUCUUUAAUAGGUUUAAAGGGUACCUAGACGGUGUGACUAAUCAUAAUGGUAACAGUCAUACUAGAGUUUGAUAUGAGAAGGGGAGUAUUUACGGAGUAGAGUUAAAAUUCUUUGAUACUUUAAGGACUGGCAAUGGCGAAAGCGACCUUUUAUGUAAAAACUGACGUUGAGGGACGAAGGCUUGGAUAGCGAACAGGAUUAGAUACCCUAGUAGUCUUUGCAGAAAAUGAUGAAUGCCAUAGACUAGAUUUUUUUGGUUUAUAAAUGAAAGUGUAAGCAUUCCACCUCAAGAGUAAUGUGGCAACGCAGGAACUGAAAUCAUUAGACCGUUUCUGAGAACAGUAGUGAAGUAUGUUAUUUAAUG
RNAcentral lists this ribosomal RNA (584 nucleotides) under Neotherrya abieticola. Its description in RNAcentral is "mitochondrial SSU rRNA". It matches the Rfam family "Bacterial small subunit ribosomal RNA", at positions 338 to 951 of the family's 1533-position model. Lineage: Eukaryota; Fungi; Ascomycota; Leotiomycetes; Rhytismatales; Rhytismataceae. The record is from RNAcentral.